CCACAAAAGCUGCACCAUGGGCUAACAGGUGGAAUCUUAAAGGCACAGUAUGAAAAUAAGCCUGUGCAUGCAAAACAGGUCUCAAAGUCAUGCAACAGCACCACUACAACUUGCAAAUAAUGUCAGACUUGAAAUGAAGCUACAUGUCUCACAAGUGGCAACUUUUAAGUAACCCUGAAAGCAUUCAGAAGCAACGAAGGCAAAUCUUAUUUUGUAUAACUUAAAUUUAAUUUUCUACUAAUAUUUUACAUGUUUAAGAACAACAGGCUUUAUUAAAAUUUGAACAUUCGGGUAAUAUACUUCAUUGACUGAUAUAUUAAUUUAAAAAUUCUGAAAAUUGUUCAAGAUAUCAACUUAUACAAAGUCUACAAGGAUAUUAAAGUACUUACACAAA
This is a long non-coding RNA of Mandrillus leucophaeus (drill), 394 nucleotides long. RefSeq lists it as uncharacterized. NCBI's taxonomy places the organism in Eukaryota, Metazoa, Chordata, Mammalia, Primates, Cercopithecidae. The transcript has 3 exons. The record is from RefSeq and is a predicted model, not a curated record.